AUCAUCCUAGUGAAGAGCAUGGAAGGCAUCAUCAGUGAUUAUCUCUCUGACUCUCAUUUGCUAAGCCUUCCUAGAGCAUUCUGACCUGCUUUCCAGGGUCACACUCUUUAUGUUUAUCACAUUGGAAUAUGCUUUUCUCCAUUUGGUCAUCAGAAAAGCCUUCUAUAGUCCUUAAAUACAAAAAAGCCCAAAUCAGAGAUAGCAGGGGAUUUCUUCUCAUGCAGAUUUGUCUGGUGAUUGCUUCUGGGACUAAAUAAAGAAGAAUUCUGUGAUUGUAUCCAAUCUUGUCACAGAUGAUGAAUAAAAUACAUAUGACUAGAAGUAAGCCUAUGCUGGGUGGUCAUUUUCUCAACCAAGAUAGAGUCGAAAAAUAGCACCACGGAAAUACUACUUGGACUGAGAGUUAAGAGACUUGAAAUCGAAUAUGUAUUCUGAUGAAGGUUGCAUGGUUUUCUGCAUCCUGAUUUCCUCUCAUUCUUGAAGAAUUACU
Molecule: long non-coding RNA, 490 nt
Organism: Canis lupus familiaris (dog)
Lineage: Eukaryota; Metazoa; Chordata; Mammalia; Carnivora; Canidae
Exons: 3
Source: RefSeq, a predicted model, not a curated record